This 117-nucleotide non-coding RNA is filed under the name Pan troglodytes (chimpanzee). The record is from Rfam by way of RNAcentral. Lineage: Eukaryota; Metazoa; Chordata; Mammalia; Primates; Hominidae.
GCCAGGCAUGGUGGCUCAUGCCUGUAAUCCCAGCAUUUUGGGAGGCCGAGGUGGGUGGAUCACCUGAGGUCAGGAGUUCGAGACCAGCCUGGCCAACAUGGUGAAACCCCAUCUCUA